UGCCGCCAUGCCCGGAGGGUUGCUUC
Molecule: non-coding RNA, 26 nt
Filed under: Mus musculus (house mouse)
Lineage: Eukaryota; Metazoa; Chordata; Mammalia; Rodentia; Muridae
Source: RNAcentral